GGGAAACCGGAGCUAAUACCGGAUAAUAUUUUGAACCGCAUGGUUCAAAAGUGAAAGACGGUCUUGCUGUCACUUAUAGAUGGAUCCGCGCUGCAUUAGCUAGUUGGUAAGGUAACGGCUUACCAAGGCAACGAUGCAUAGCCGACCUGAGAGGGUGAUCGGCCACACUGGAACUGAGACACGGUCCAGACUCCUACGGGAGGCAGCAGUAGGGAAUCUUCCGCAAUGGGCGAAAGCCUGACGGAGCAACGCCGCGUGAGUGAUGAAGGUCUUCGGAUCGUAAAACUCUGUUAUUAGGGAAGAACAUAUGUGUAAGUAACUGUGCACAUCUUGACGGUACCUAAUCAGAAAGCCACGGCUAACUACGUGCCAGCAGCCGCGGUAAUACGUAGGUGGCAAGCGUUAUCCGGAAUUAUUGGGCGUAAAGCGCGCGUAGGCGGUUUUUUAAGUCUGAUGUGAAAGCCCACGGCUCAACCGUGGAGGGUCAUUGGAAACUGGAAAACUUGAGUGCAGAAGAGGAAAGUGGAAUUCCAUGUGUAGCGGUGAAAUGCGCAGAGAUAUGGAGGAACACCAGUGGCGAAGGCGACUUUCUGGUCUGUAACUGACGCUGAUGUGCGAAAGCGUGGGGAUCAAACAGGAUUAGAUACCCUGGUAGUCCACGCCGUAAACGAUGAGUGCUA
This 680-nucleotide ribosomal RNA is filed under the name Staphylococcus aureus. RNAcentral's name for it is "bacterial SSU rRNA". It matches the Rfam family "Bacterial small subunit ribosomal RNA", at positions 151 to 818 of the family's 1533-position model. The record is from RNAcentral. Lineage: Bacteria; Bacillati; Bacillota; Bacilli; Caryophanales; Staphylococcaceae.